CUGCUUGUCUGGGCAGCACAUACACUAAAACUGGAACAAUAGAGAAGACUAAUAUGGCUUACACAAGGAUGACUCACAAUUCAUGAAAUGCUUCAUAUUUUA
This is a small nuclear RNA of Cavia porcellus (domestic guinea pig), 102 nucleotides long. The record is from Ensembl. NCBI's taxonomy places the organism in Eukaryota, Metazoa, Chordata, Mammalia, Rodentia, Caviidae.